Molecule: long non-coding RNA, 730 nt
Organism: Oreochromis aureus
Lineage: Eukaryota; Metazoa; Chordata; Actinopteri; Cichliformes; Cichlidae
Source: Ensembl
GGUUAGUGAGAGUUUGGAGAGAGUUUGGAGGUUUAGGAGAGUGAGGAGAGAAAGUCAGGAGAGGAUGGAGCCAGCUAAGAAGAGGAGGAUGUCCUCCCCUGUGUGGGAACAUUUUGAUCUUAUUCCUCCCAACAAGGUGAAGUGUUUGCUAUGUGCCAGGGAGCUGGGAUAUAACAACAACACCUCAUCCAUGCUCAGGCACUACAGAGCUUUGCAUGAGAAUAAGGGGAACACUGAUUGUGGAGCAAGACCAGGUGAGCCAUCAAAUGCCAUGAUAAUAUAGCAUGCAGUAAUCUUACUAAAUGAUAGAACAAUAUUAUACAACUGUAAUAAGUUAUGUGUGUGAUAUUUAUAUUUGUGCUUUGUUUUUAUUGUCUUUCCUCAGGAGAACAAUCUCAAAUAGAUGAAACCCUGGUUAACAUGGUGACUGAGGACUCCCAGCCAUUUAGCAUUGUGGAGGACAAAGGAUUUAAAAGAUUUAUUAAAUCAGUAAAUCCUAGCUAUGUUCUCCCCACUAAAAAGGUCAUAAAAGCAGUGACAAUGUAGUUUUUACAGAAUAAAAUGUGAACAGGCAGGACUGAGGCUCAACGCCUCAGUUUGAAGAGUGUGGCAUUUUGCACACAGCCUGUAAAUGUCAACAACAAAAGGAGUAUGUAAAACAUGUAUAUUGUAGUGAUGACAGUAUACUGUGUAUAUUUAUACUGGCAGGCUCAAAGCCUCAGUGUGUAGC